UGGGGAAUAUUGCACAAUGGGCGAAGGCCUGAUGCAGCAACGCCGCGUGAGGGACGACGGCCUUCGGGUUGUAAACCUCUUUUAGCAAGGAAGAAGCGAAAGUGACGGUACUUGCAGAAAAAGCGCCGGCUAACUACGUGCCAGCAGCCGCGGUAAUACGUAGGGCGCAAGCGUUAUCCGGAAUUAUUGGGCGUAAAGAGCUCGUAGGCGGUUUGUCGCGUCUGCUGUGAAAACCCGAGGCUCAACCUCGGGCCUGCAGUGGGUACGGGCAGACUAGAGUGCGGUAGGGGAGAUUGGAACUCCUGGUGUAGCGGUGGAAUGCGCAGAUAUCAGGAAGAACACCGAUGGCGAAGGCAGAUCUCUGGGCCGUAACUGACGCUGAGGAGCGAAAGGGUGGGGAGCAAACAGGCUUAGAUACCCUGGUAGUCCACCCGUAAACGUUGGAACUAGUUGUGGGGUCCAUUCCACGGAUUCCGUGACGCAGCUAACGCAUUAAGUUCCCCGCCUGGGGAGUACGGCCGCAAGGCUAAAACUUAAAGGAAUUGACGGGGUCAUAGCUGUUUCCU
This 566-nucleotide ribosomal RNA is filed under the name uncultured bacterium. RNAcentral's name for it is "partial 16S ribosomal RNA". It matches the Rfam family "Bacterial small subunit ribosomal RNA", at positions 355 to 1375 of the family's 1533-position model. The record is from RNAcentral.